GUUUGAUUGAUUUCGAUAUCACAUCUUACGAUUUAGAAUACUGAACAUAAUUUGAGAAUAAAUAAUAUUUAUAUAAUUCGACCUAUUCACUUAAGUCCGUAGAAACUAGAAAGAGACUAGAUUUUCUGAUAAACUUUAGUAUUCAAUAUAUCUGAUCCCUAAAAAUAUUAAAUUAUUAUUUUUUAAAUUCGGCCUAUGCUAU
This 202-nucleotide long non-coding RNA is filed under the name Phoenix dactylifera (date palm). RNAcentral describes it as "long non-coding RNA (PDAC_LNC019825)". The record is from RNAcentral. Lineage: Eukaryota; Viridiplantae; Streptophyta; Magnoliopsida; Arecales; Arecaceae.